AUUGAACGCUGGCGGCGUGCCUAACACAUGCAAGUCGAGCGGCAGCGCGGGAGCAAUCCUGGCGGCGAGCGGCGGACGGGUGAGUAACGCUUGGGAAUCUGCCUGUUAGUGGGGGACAACCCGGGGAAACUCGGGCUAAUACCGCAUACGCACUACGGUGGAAAGCCGGGGACCGCAAGGCCUGGCGCUAACAGAUGAGCCCAAGUCGGAUUAGCUAGUUGGUAGGGUAACGGCCACCAAGGCGACGAUCCGUAACUGGUCUGAGAGGACGACCAGUCACACCGGAACUGAGACACGGUCCGGACUCCUACGGGAGGCAGCAGUGGGGAAUAUUGGACAAUGGGGGAAACCCUGAUCCAGCGACGCCGCGUGGGUGAAGAAGGCCUGCGGGUUGUAAAGCCCUUUCAGUGGGGAAGAAAAGCCUCGACCUAACACGUCGGGGUCUUGACGUAACCCAUAGAAGAAGCACCGGCUAACUCUGUGCCAGCCGCCG
This 493-nucleotide ribosomal RNA is filed under the name uncultured bacterium. RNAcentral's name for it is "bacterial SSU rRNA". It matches the Rfam family "Bacterial small subunit ribosomal RNA", at positions 29 to 517 of the family's 1533-position model. The record is from RNAcentral.